UCCGUAGGUGAACCUGCGGAAGGAUCAUUACCGAGUGUAGGGUUCCUAGCGAGCCCAACCUCCCACCCGUGUUUACUGUACCUUAGUUGCUUCGGCGGGCCCGCCAUUCAUGGCCGCCGGGGGCCCUCAGCCCCGGGCCCGCGCCCGCCGGAGACACCACGAACUCUGUCUGAUCUAGUGAAGUCUGAGUUGAUUGUAUCGCAACCAGUUAAAACUUUCAACAAUGGAUCUCUUGGUUCCGGCAUCGAUGAAGAACGCAGCGAAAUGCGAUAACUAGUGUGAAUUGCAGAAUUCCGUGAAUCAUCGAGUCUUUGAACGCACAUUGCGCCCCCUGGUAUUCCGGGGGGCAUGCCUGUCCGAGCGUCAUUGCUGCCCAUCAAGCACGGCUUGUGUGUUGGGUCGUCGUCCCCUCUCCGGGGGGGACGGGCCCCAAAGGCAGCGGCGGCACCGCGUCCGAUCCUCGAGCGUAUGGGGCUUUGUCACCCGCUCUGUAGGCCCGGCCGGCGCUUGCCGAACGCAAAUCAAUCUUUUUCCAGGUUGACCUCGGAUCAGGUAGGGAUACCCGCUGAACUUAAGCAUAUCAAUAAGCGGAGGA
RNAcentral lists this ribosomal RNA (595 nucleotides) under Aspergillus oryzae. Its description in RNAcentral is "eukaryotic LSU rRNA". The stretch from base 213 to 366 matches the Rfam family "5.8S ribosomal RNA". Lineage: Eukaryota; Fungi; Ascomycota; Eurotiomycetes; Eurotiales; Aspergillaceae. The record is from RNAcentral.